This 288-nucleotide small RNA is filed under the name Celeribacter indicus. RNAcentral's name for it is "5' ureB small RNA". It matches the Rfam family "5' ureB small RNA". The record is from Rfam by way of RNAcentral. Lineage: Bacteria; Pseudomonadati; Pseudomonadota; Alphaproteobacteria; Rhodobacterales; Roseobacteraceae.
GUCCUCGAUCUGCUGCGGGCAGAUGAAAUGGAUAUGGCUGUCGAAGCCGCCCGCGGUGACGAUCCGCCCCUCGCCCGCGAUCACCUCCGUGCCGGGGCCGAUGAUGAUAUCGACGCCCGGCUGGGUGUCGGGAUUUCCGGCCUUGCCAAGCCCGGCGAUAUGCCCGUCCCUGAGGCCGAUAUCGGCCUUGUAGAUCCCGGUCACGUCGACGAUCAGCGCAUUGGUGAUGACCGUGUCCACCGCGCCCUCGGCGCGGGAGCGCUGCGACUGGCCCAUGCCGUCGCGGAU